Molecule: small nuclear RNA, 77 nt
Filed under: Tupaia belangeri chinensis (Chinese tree shrew)
Lineage: Eukaryota; Metazoa; Chordata; Mammalia; Scandentia; Tupaiidae
Description: Tupaia chinensis (Chinese tree shrew) U4 spliceosomal RNA
Rfam family: U4 spliceosomal RNA
About the family: U4 small nuclear RNA (U4 snRNA) is a component of the major U2-dependent spliceosome.
Source: Rfam by way of RNAcentral
AGCUUUGUGCAGUGGCAGUAUCAUAGCCAAUGAGGUUUAUCUGAGGUACGAUUAUUGCUAAUUGAAAAUCAUGCUGA